Molecule: ribosomal RNA, 448 nt
Filed under: uncultured bacterium
Lineage: Bacteria
Description: bacterial SSU rRNA
Rfam family: Bacterial small subunit ribosomal RNA
Source: RNAcentral
CGCUAUCACUCCUACGGGAGGCAGCAGUGGGGAAUAUUGGACAAUGGGCGCAAGCCUGAUCCAGCCAUGCCGCGUGAGUGAUGAAGGCCUUAGGGUUGUAAAGCUCUUUUGUCCGGGACGAUAAUGACGGUACCGGAAGAAUAAGCCCCGGCUAACUUCGUGCCAGCAGCCGCGGUAAUACGAAGGGGGCUAGCGUUGCUCGGAAUCACUGGGCGUAAAGGGCGCGUAGGCGGCCGAUUAAGUCGGGGGUGAAAGCCUGUGGCUCAACCACAGAAUUGCCUUCGAUACUGGUUGGCUUGAGACCGGAAGAGGACAGCGGAACUGCGAGUGUAGAGGUGAAAUUCGUAGAUAUUCGCAAGAACACCAGUGGCGAAGGCGGCUGUCUGGUCCGGUUCUGACGCUGAGGCGCGAAAGCGUGGGGAGCAAACAGGAUUAGAUACCCUGGUAG